RNA transcript from Lemur catta (Ring-tailed lemur), 1332 nucleotides. It is a transcript of the gene named NUBP iron-sulfur cluster assembly factor 1, cytosolic, with no coding region annotated. The record is from RefSeq and is a predicted model, not a curated record. The transcript has 11 exons. Lineage: Eukaryota; Metazoa; Chordata; Mammalia; Primates; Lemuridae.
UCGCGCGGCUGGAGAAUCAGAUCGCGCCCGCGAGGCGGAAAUGCACGGCAGCGGGUUCCGGCUACCGCGUCGGCGGCACAGGCGGCGGAAUGGAGGAGGUGCCUCACGACUGUCCAGGGGCCGACAGCGCCCAGGCGGGCCGAGGGGCCUCAUGUCAGGGAUGCCCCAACCAGCGACUGUGUGCUUCUGGAGCGGGUGCCACUCCGGACCCGGCCAUAGAGGAAAUCAAAGAGAAAAUGAAGACGGUGAAACACAAGAUCUUGGUGUUGUCUGGGAAAGGUGGUGUUGGGAAAAGCACAUUCAGUGCCCACCUGGCCCACGGCCUCGCAGAGGAUGAAAGCACACAGGUUGCUCUCCUGGACAUCGACAUAUGUGGGCCGUCAAUUCCCAAGAUAAUGGGAUUGGAGGGCGAACAGGUUCACCAGAGCGGCUCCGGCUGGUCCCCAGUGGUGAGUUGUCACCUCUCUGCCGUGUUUCGAGUACGUGGACGAAAACCUGGGCGUGAUGUCCGUAGGCUUCCUGCUCGGCAGCCCCGACGACGCUGUUAUCUGGAGGGGACCGAAGAAAAAUGGCAUGAUCAAGCAGUUCCUCCGCGACGUGGACUGGGGAGAGGUCGACUACCUCAUCGUGGACACCCCGCCCGGGACGUCGGACGAGCACCUCUCGGUCGUCCAGUACCUGACCGCGGCUCGCAUCGACGGCGCCGUGCUCCUCACCACGCCUCAGGAGGUAUCGCUGCAGGAUGUGCGGAAAGAAAUCAACUUCUGCCGCAAGGUGAAGCUGCCCAUCAUCGGGGUGGUGGAGAACAUGAGCGGCUUCAUCUGUCCCAACUGCAAGAAAGAAUCUCAGAUAUUCCCUCCCACGACCGGCGGCGCGGCGGCCAUGUGCCAGGACCUGAAGUUGCCUCUCCUGGGCAGAGUGCCCCUGGACCCUCACAUAGGGAAGAGCUGUGACAAAGGCCAGUCCUUUCUGGUUGAAGCCCCAGACUCACCAGCCACCCUCGCCUACAGGAGCAUAAUUCAGAGAAUCCAAGAGUUUUGUAACCUCCAUCAGUCAAAAGAAGAGAACCUCAUCAGUUCCUGAGACAAGAGGCUGCUGGGAGCCCCAGCAGUUCCUGAGCUGGCAGGUGGCAGCGUGCAGGCAGGCCUGGCCACCUCGGGGACAGGUAGGGGACGCAGGCAGCAAGGCCCCAGACGCUGGUGUGGUUUGAAGUCACUUUCUCAGAGACACUUUAAUCAUCUAAUGUUUGUACACUUUUCCUUAGAACAUAUGUAAAGGGCAUUUUUUUUCAAACGUGCCAUUUUAAAAAUAAAAACGCCUCCUCGAACCUUU